GAAAUGCGAUAAGUAGUGUGAAUUGCAGAAUUCAGUGAAUCAUCGAAUCUUUGAACGCACAUUGCGCCCUUUGGUAUUCCUUAGGGCAUGCCUGUUCGAGCGUCAUUUAAACCCUCAAGCUCAGCUUGGUGUUGGGCGUCUGUCCCCCCCACUACGUGGGCGGGGACUCGCCUCAAAUCGAUUGGCGGCCGGUACGUUGGCUUCGAGCGCAGCAGAAACGCGAACUCGGGCCCCAGCGAGCCGGCUCCCACAAGCCAUACUCCUAAUUUUGACCUCGGAUCAGGUAGGGAUACCCGCUGAACUUAA
This 306-nucleotide unclassified non-coding RNA is filed under the name uncultured fungus. RNAcentral describes it as "sequence contains ITS1". The stretch from base 1 to 105 matches the Rfam family "5.8S ribosomal RNA", at positions 50 to 154 of the family's 154-position model. Lineage: Eukaryota; Fungi. The record is from RNAcentral.